UUCAACUUGCCAAUCACUUGGCCCGUGACAUGUCGAAUGAGAGGUAUUUUGGGCUUCUUUACUUGUGAGUGCCAACAUCAGUAAGGAAACUAAAGUCAGCCAAAGGAUCAGCAAAGUUGGUUGCCUAACUGCCGAACAGCUGCCAGAGACAUAGAAGAGGUUCCAAUCACUUAGCCCUUGACAUAUAAAAUGAGCGAUAUUUUGAGGUUCUUUACUUGUGAGUGUAGCAUCUGAGCUAAAGAAUCAGCUAAACAGCUACCUGCGACAUUGGAGAGGUUAGUAGUAGGUCUGUUUUUUUUAAAAUUCCGUACUGUGUCUCACUCCGAUUGUGAGCUCCUAUAGUCAAAUGAUUUUUAAUGAAAAAUAGGACGUCGCACUGGUAAUAAAUUGUGAAUUAAUGCAACAAAGAAUUCACUGUCCAGGUUUACAAUGCUGAACCUGUUAAAAGAGUAGAGUGGUUAUACACACAUGAGGGAUAUGGAUGAGCUCAACUUGUAGUGCUCUUCUAUUGAGUGAACGUGUAGAUUUAAAAUAUCACUGUUUUCCUUACCUUUGAAAGCUAUACACUAUCAGUCCAUUUGUAUUACAGAAAAAAAAAUCCCCCACUGCAAAGAUAACCCAGCCGUUUAGCAAAUAUUUUGGUUUCCUUUGGCGCACACCAUCAGUAUCUUCUAUUAACCAAUAUAGGCAAGGUAUUUACUUCCAGAUAUUUACACGUGUACAUAAGAGUGGUGAACUAGAGGUUUGUAAGAUCAUGUCGUUUCCAUGCCACCAAUUAUCUGGUAUGUAUGUUUUAAGAGAACUGAACCUGAGGUUCGUUGCAGUUUUAGUAUGCCAUGCUAUAACAGUAUACCAUUAUAUUCUUCAGACUAUAGGGCAAGUUCAAAGGUGCAACAAAUCCGAGCUUUACGCCGAAUUGGAAUAUGUGCUUCUAUUUUCGGUCACAUUUCUUUCACCACUCUACUCUUGCAAUCUUGCUAUCUCUCUUACCCGGUGGCCCUGAAGUAUUCUUGUGGCAUUGUACAUAGUACCAACAUUGAGUUAGGCUGAGUAUUUGGUUUUGGUUUUCAGUUUGUGUACGUGCAAACUCAGCUGUGGAAUAAAAUUCAGCUUGUGUACUCAUAA
Non-coding RNA from Lolium perenne, 1125 nucleotides. The record is from RefSeq and is a predicted model, not a curated record. Lineage: Eukaryota; Viridiplantae; Streptophyta; Magnoliopsida; Poales; Poaceae.